AAAAUAAUCUGAGUGGUGUGCUUCCAAGGGAACUCAUUGCAAGAUAAGCGUAGAAGUCAGGACACAAAGUGGCUUUGGCAAACAGAAUGACCCAGUAGAGUUACCAAUCCAUGAACAAAUGGGAUGUGUAAUUAUCUAAAA
Long non-coding RNA from Neopelma chrysocephalum (saffron-crested tyrant-manakin), 141 nucleotides. RefSeq lists it as uncharacterized. The record is from RefSeq and is a predicted model, not a curated record. The transcript is spliced from 2 exons. Lineage: Eukaryota; Metazoa; Chordata; Aves; Passeriformes; Pipridae.